Molecule: ribosomal RNA, 489 nt
Filed under: uncultured bacterium
Lineage: Bacteria
Description: bacterial SSU rRNA
Rfam family: Bacterial small subunit ribosomal RNA
Source: RNAcentral
GACGAACGCUGGCGGCGUGCUUAACACAUGCAAGUCGAGCGGUAAGGCCCUUUCGGGGGUACACGAGCGGCGAACGGGUGAGUAACACGUGGGUGACCUGCCCUCAGCUCUGGGAUAAGCCUGGGAAACCGGGUCUAAUACUGGAUAUGACUCCAUGACGCAUGUUGUGAGGUGGAAAGCCUUGUGCGGCUGAGGAUGGGCCCGCGGCCUAUCAGCUUGUUGGUGGGGUGAUGGCCUACCAAGGCGACGACGGGUAGCCGGCCUGAGAGGGCGACCGGCCACACUGGGACUGAGACACGGCCCAGACUCCUACGGGAGGCAGCAGUGGGGAAUCUUGCGCAAUGGGCGAAAGCCUGACGCAGCGACGCCGCGUGAGGGAUGAAGGUCUUCGGAUUGUAAACCCCUUUCGGGAGGGAAGAUGGAAUGGGGUAACCCAUUCGGACGGUACCUCCAGAAGCAGCCACGGCUAACUUCGUGCCAGCCGCCGCA